GUGACCAAGUAUAAGAUGGGGGGCGAGCGGGGGGCACGGUGCGACAUGGCCAACCAGGUACUUCGGACCUUGGUGGAAGCAUCUAGCUCAGGUGUGUUAGUACUGAGCCUGUGUGAGAAAGGCCAUGCCAUGAUCACGGAAGAAACAGAGAAAAUCUUCAAGAAAGAAAAGGAAAUGAAGAAAGGUAUUGCUUUUCCCACAAGCAUUUCAGUAAAUAACUUUGUAUGUCACUUCUUCCCUUUGAAGAGCAGCCAGGAUUAUAUUCUUAAGGAAGGUGACUUGGUAAAAAUUGACCUUGGGUUCCAUGUGGACAGCUUAAUCGCUAAUGUAGCUCAUACCUUGGUGGUUGAUGUAGCUCAGGGGACCCAAGUAACAGGGAGGAAAGCAGAUGUUAUUAAGACAGCUCACCUUUGUGCUGAAGCUGCCCUAUGCCUGGCCAAACCUAGAAAUCAGAACACACAAGUGACAGACGUGGAACAAAAUUGCUCACUCAUUUAAUUGGAUGCCGAUAGAAGGUAUGCUGUCACACCAGUUGAAGCAGCAUGUCAUCAACGGUGAAAAAAACAUUAUCCAGAAUCCCAUAGACCAGCAGAAGAAGGACCAAGAAAAAGCUGAAUUUGAGGUAUGUGAAGUAUAUGCUGUGGAUGUUCUCGUCAGCUUAGGAGAGGGCAAGGUCAACAAUGCAGGACAGAGAACCACUAUUUACAAAUGAGAUCCCUCCAAACAGUAUGAACUGAAAAUGAAAACUUCACGUGCCUUCUUCAGUGAGGUGGAAAGGCGUUUUGAUGCCAUGCCAUUUACUUUAAGAGCAUUUGAAGAUGAGAAGAAGGCUUGGAUGGGUGUGGUGGAGUGCACCAAGCAUGGACUGCUACAACCAUUUAAUGUUCUUUAUGAGAAGGAGGGGGAAUUUGUUGCCCAGUUUAAAUUUGCAAUUCUGCUCAUGCCCAAUGGCCCCAUGCAGAUAACCAGUGGUCCCUUUGAGCCUGACCUCUACAAGUCUGAGAUGAAGGUCCAGGAUGCAGAGCUAAAGGCCCUCCUUCAGAGUUCUGCAAGUCAAGAAACCCAGAAAAAGAAAAAGAAAAAAAGAAAAGGCUUCCAAGACUGUGGAGAAUGCCACCAGUGGGGAAACAUUAGAAGAAAAUGAAACUGGGGACUGAGGUGGGUCCCAUUUCCCCAGCUUGCUACUUCUGCCUCAUCCCCUUCCCACCACACCCCAGACUUUGUGAAGUACAGUUCUUCUUCUCCACCUAGGACCCCCAGCAGAGCAGGGGGUCUCCCUUUCUCCCCCACCCCAGUUCCCCAACCCACUCCUUUCCAACAACAACCAGCUCC
Non-coding RNA from Chlorocebus sabaeus (green monkey), 1332 nucleotides. The record is from RefSeq and is a predicted model, not a curated record. Lineage: Eukaryota; Metazoa; Chordata; Mammalia; Primates; Cercopithecidae.